GCUCAAAUUUGAAAUCUGGCCCUCGGGUCCGAGUUGUACUUUGCAGAGGAUGCUUCUGGCGAGGCGCUGCCCAAGUCCCCUGGAACGGGGCGCCGGAGAGGGUGAGAGCCCCGUACGGUCGGCGGCCGAGCCUGUGCGAAGCUCCUUCGACGAGUCGAGUAGUUUGGGAAUGCUGCUCUAAGCGGGAGGUAGACCCCUUCUAAAGCUAAAUACCGGCCAGAGACCGAUAGCGCACAAGUAGAGUGAUCGAAAGAUGAAAAGCACUUUGAAAAGAGGGUUAAACAGCACGUGAAAUUGUUGAAAGGGAAGCGCUUGCGACCAGACGUGCGCCGGGGUGCUCCGCGGGCGUUCUCGCCCGCGCACUCGCCCCGGCGCAGGCCAGCGUCGGUUCGGAUGGGGGGACAAAGGCGCCUGGAACGUGGCUCCCCCGGGAGUGUUAUAGCCAGGCGCGCCAUGCCCCCGCCCGGACCGAGGUUCGCGUUCUGCAAGGACGCUGGCGUAAUGGUCCCCAGCGGCCCGUCUUGAAACACGGACCAAGGAGUCGAGGUUUUGCGCGAGUGUCUGGGUGACAAACCCGCACGCGCAAUGAAAGUGAACGCUGGUGGGAGCUUCGGCGCACCACCGACCGAUCCUGAAGUUUACGGAUGGAUUUGAGUACGAGCGCAGGGCCUCGGACCCGAAAGAUGGUGAACUAUGCUUGGAUAGGGUGAAGCCAGAGGAAACUCUGGUGGAGGCUCGCAGCGGUUCUGACGUGCAAAUCGAUCGUCAAAUCUGAGCAUGGGGGCGAAAGACUAAUCGAACCGUCUAGUAGCUGGUUACUGCCGAAGUUUCCCUCAGGAUAGCAGUGUUGAUCUCAGUUUUAUGAGGUAAAGCGAAUGAUUAGGGACU
Molecule: ribosomal RNA, 888 nt
Filed under: Sporoschisma hemipsilum
Lineage: Eukaryota; Fungi; Ascomycota; Sordariomycetes; Chaetosphaeriales; Chaetosphaeriaceae
Description: eukaryotic LSU rRNA
Rfam family: Eukaryotic large subunit ribosomal RNA
Source: RNAcentral